UUCCGGUUGAUCCCGCCGGACCUGACUGCUAUCGGAUUGGUACUAAGCCAUGCGAGUCGUUGUAGCAAUACAAGGCGGACGGCUCAGUAACACGUAGUCAACCUAACCUAUGGACGUGGAUAACCUCGGGAAACUGAGAAUAAACCGCGAUAGAUCAUUAUGCCUGGAAUGGCUUAUGGUUCAAACAAUUUAUUGCCGUAGGAUGGGACUGCGGCCUAUCAGCUUGUUGGUGAGGUAAUGGCCCACCAAGGCUAUAACAGGUACGGGCUCUGAGAGGAGAAGCCCGGAGAUGGGUACUGAGACACGGACCCAGGCCCUAUGGGGCGCAGCAGGCGAGAAACCUUAGCAAUGUGCGAAAGCACGACUAGGUUAAUCCGAGUGAUUUCUGUUGAAGAAAUCUUUUGUCAGUCGUAAAACCACAGACGAAUAAGGGGUGGGCAAGUCUGGUGUCAGCCGCCGCGGUAAUACCAGCACCUCGAGUGGUCAGGAGGUUUAUUGGGCCUAAAGCAUCCGUAGCCGGCUUUGCAAGUCUCCGGUUAAAUCCAGCUGCUCAACAGAUGGGCUGCCGGAGAUACUACAAAGCUAGGGAGCGGGAGAGGUAGACGGUAUUCGGUGGGUAGGGGUAAAAUCCACUGAUCCAUCGAGGACCACCAGUGGCGAAGGCGGUCUACCAGAACGCGUUCGACGGUGAGGGAUGAAAGCUGGGGGAGCAGACCGGAUUAGAUACCCGGGUAGUCCCAGCUGUAAACGAUGCAAACUCGGUGAUGCAUUGGCUUAUGGCCAAUGCAGUGCCGCAGGGAAGCCGUUAAGUUUGCCGCCUGGGAAGUACGGACGCAAGUCUGAAACUUAAAGGAAUUGGCGGGGGAGCACCACAAGGGGUGAAGCCUGCGGUUCAAUUGGAUUCAACGCCGGA
This 913-nucleotide ribosomal RNA is filed under the name uncultured crenarchaeote. Its description in RNAcentral is "bacterial SSU rRNA". It matches the Rfam family "Archaeal small subunit ribosomal RNA", at positions 1 to 922 of the family's 1478-position model. The record is from RNAcentral. Lineage: Archaea; Thermoproteati; Thermoproteota.